CCGACCCCAGCCCCCUGGGUACCACGGGCCUGGGUCCGGCCGCCGCCGCCCGCGCUCGCGGGCUCCGCCGGCUGCCGCUCCGUGUUUUCCCCCAUCCCGGCUUCACGUUCAAGGUUUAGCUGCGAGGUCACGUCCAUUGACGUCAGCUCCCUGUCUCCCUCUACGUCCGGCUACAUUUACAUACAUCAAGGAAAUUAGGGCAUUAAAAAAAUAUGCAAAUCCUGCGCGGAGAGGAGCGGGUGCAUUCCUGGCGCGAUCGCCUUUUAUUGAAGCUUUUAAUUAAAGGGGCCAGUUGGCGAGCCCCUGAAACAACCGCCAAAACCCCCCAAAAGAGAAAAAUAAACGCUGUAGCCUUCGAGAACGGUUGUUUCGGCUCCUGUUCUGUGGGCGGCUGAGGACCGCCGGCUGCCCGGCUCGGAGAAGAACAGGUGACACCUCGGCGGCAGAUCAAUGGACUGCUGGGGUUUCUGGGAGAGACGCGCGAAGAGGGACUGUCACGCACAGAGCUGAGAACAGCGGAUCCUACAGAAGUAAUUAGACUGACAGGAGGUGACAUCUUCCAGACAAUAAAAUGGGAGAAGGAGUCCAGACAGAUUUAUGAAGAUAAGCAUCUUGCUUCAGAAGCUGAACAAUCUUUCGAAAGCAGGAAAUCCACAGAGGAGUAGGAAGUGCAAGUGAAAUGGACACUGCCGAGCAAUGCGGUUUCUGAGAACAGUUCAUAACCACACUCCCAUGCUGGCGGGCAGGCGCUCAGGACGCUGCUGCUGCCAGACUCCGGCGUAGCUGGGAAGGGUCUGCCCAGGGCCUCUUCCAUUUAGAAUGUUUGGCACAGGUACCAAGACAGCGCGUGGGAUGCCCUCACCCAGGAUCAGAGUGCCUGGGGUUCGGGUCCCAGCUCCACUCCCAAUUCCAGCUUCCUGCUGGUCUGUACCGUGGGAGCCAGUGGUGAUGGCUCAAGAGGCUGAGUCUCUGGGAAGCCUAGACUGAGCUCCUGGCUCCAGACUGGCCUGGCUCAGCCCUGGCCAUUGUGGACAUUUGGGAAGUGAACCAGUGGACGGGAGCUCUCUCUCUCUGUCUCUCUUAGAUAAAUAAAUCAAUAAGAUGCAUUCAGAAAAUAAUGAUUGAAACCCCAGUGCUAUAUCCGAUACUGUCUUGUGCAUUCAGGUUUUAGAAGAGCAGGCAAUACAAAUUCAAACCAGAAAACUCUGAACCGACCUAUAACAGUCCAUAGUUUCGUGGCAAUUUCCCGCAUGGCUCACUCAGAUUGGGGGGAACGAAGAUGCUAAGAAAUCCCUCCAUAGGUUUUAACAAUCAAAACACUAAGUACUGCCCUGCUCUCCUGAUAUCACAGUCCUUCUCAGUUCUUGUUCUAGAAACGGAAAGACAUGGAAAUGCGGUGGAUUUAGUACACUCAGAAGGUAGACUUUAAUUAGGCAAGCAAAUCAUAUGCAAUACAGUGCUUGAGAGAAUGAAACUGCACCAAAAGUAUUCAUUUGUGGUGCAAAUUUUAUAAAAAGUAGAAAAUGCAAAUCCUUGAUGCUCAUUCUAAUCAGAUAUUGACUUCUGGGUGGCAAGAGCUGGAGGUUUUCACUCCCUGUUUUUAUGCUUUUCCUUAAAAGAGAAUCUUCAAAAUUUGUUUAUUUGAAAGGCAGAGUGACAGAGAGAGAGGGAGAGACAAAGAGAGAGAGAUCAUCCAUAUGCCGGCUCACUCCCCAAAUGGCUGCAAUAGCCAGGGCUGGCCAGGCUGAAACCAGCAGCCAGGAACUUCAUCCCUGUGACCCAUGUGGGUGGCAAGAACCCAAGUCCUUGGGCCACCAUCUGCUGCCUUCCCAGGCACAUCAGCAGGAAGCUGGAUCAGAACUGUAGAGUAGCCUGGACUGGAACCAGCACCCCAAUAAGGGAGCUGGGUGCUGCAAGUGGGGACUUACUCUGCUAGGGUCACAAUGCCAGCCUCUUGAAGGAGACUCUCAAUAUUGGACUGAAAAUUUUAUUCACCAAAUAUUUCUUAUGUUCAAAUAAUGGAAAUAAAAGGCAAUAAAGUUCUAAGGGACCUCUAGUGUACUAACAUGAGGAUGCAUCCACCAACUUGGUCCCAAAAAUACGUCAUGUAGACAUUCAGAUGGCAAUGGUUCCUAGAGUCAUUGCACUUCAGUCCGGAUGAGACCACCACGCCCUGUGGCCCUUCCACGCCCUCCAGGAGGAGGUAGGGAGGAACAGUGCAGCAGCAGAGCACCCUCCAAGCGCUCCUGGUCCUCUUCACAGAGACCCUCGCUUCUCUGACCGUCUGCUUCCUCCCUCACUCAUGCACUCACUUUAUUCUGUCUGCAUUCUCUCCAGACCUUUAUCACACAGUACCGCUCCUGUAUGUGUUCGUCUUCUCUCUAGGUUGAGAGAUCCUUACUCAGCAAAGCACCUUCCUGUAUUCCCUUUGGAGUUUCGAUACUGAAUACGGCACAACGUCCUGCAGGAGCUCAAGAAAAGCUGGCGGAUGAACAGGAAAUCAUUUCCACCUCACCGUGAAGCUAGGCAGAGGUUUUCCCACUUGACCCAGCUGCCUGCGUGGUGGGAGGCCCAGAUGGUGGGGGGACCCCCGAGCCCUUGAUGCUCAUAAGUUAAUCACUACAAUGUGUCAGGUGUUGUCUGAGGUCUCCUGCAUGCAAAGGUGCUUCCUGCCACACAGGUAUGAGACCAUUUGCUCCUGCGUUCUUCCUCCCACUGCCAUGACCUCCAAGAGCCAGGGAUGGCUUCCCAGGCAUCUUGUGUCACCAGAGCUUAGCCCAGGGCCUGGCAGGUGCUAGGAGCUGAGUAACCGUUUGAAGCAUGACAACAGAUGGGAGUGGACGGAUGAACAGAGCAGAGAAGAACCUUCAAAUGUUCCAGGGGGAGAGUCAAAGUGCAGUAGUUUUGCAAUGGCAAAAAAAAUUUUUUUAACCAUUUCAUACUAUUAUUUCAAGGUAUACUAAAACUCAGUGUUUUACUCUAUCAUAAAUUUACUAUUUGUUGAAAUGUACAGUUUUUAAGUUAGAAAUCAUUGUAGUGUAAGGCAUUAUCUGUACCACAUCUGAAAUGGAUAGAAAUCAGGUUUUUUUAAAAAAAUUAUUGAAUGCUGAGGGCCAGUGUUGUGGCAUAGCAGGUAAAGCUGUCACCCACAAUGCCUGCAUCCCGUAUGGGCACUGGUUCGUGUGCUGACUGUCCAUUUCUGAUCCAGUUCUCUAUUAAUGGCUGUGAAAAGCAGCGAAGAAGGGCCCCAGUGUUUGGGCCUCUGCACCCAUGUAGGAGACUAACAGAAAGCUCUUGGCUUUGGCCUGGCCCAGUGCUGGCCAUUGAGGCCAUGUGUGGAUUGAACCAGCAGAUGGAAGAUGGAUCAAUCUCUCUCUCUCUCUUGCACUCUCUCU
Molecule: non-coding RNA, 3395 nt
Organism: Oryctolagus cuniculus (rabbit)
Lineage: Eukaryota; Metazoa; Chordata; Mammalia; Lagomorpha; Leporidae
Source: RefSeq, a predicted model, not a curated record